UAAAGAUAACAGUGAAAGAAACUAAUUCGAUUUUAUUGAUUCUACAUAUUGGCCUAUAUAAGCCUUAUCAGUACUCCACAUUUAAAUAGUUCAUACAUGAACAAGAAAAUCAUGACAAAAAGGUAGAAAAAGAACAAAUACAAUCCGGUAACGUAGAUAAUUAUUUGGAUAACAAAAUGAAAACUAGAAGUGUGGAAGUACUUUUAUUCUCCAGAAAGAAAACUCCGUUAAGUGCCGCGUCGUCUUUUGCCACAAAUCUGCCUUGACAUGGGCAUGGAAUAGACAGUGCCCAUGGGAAAACCCUUUAAACCAAUUAAAAUAAAUAUUAGUAUUCAGUUUUCCAAUUAAUUAUAUGCAUUUCAUAAUGUAAUGAAGAAAUUUAUCAAUUAAAUUAUGUGUAAUAAUUUUUCUAUUAUGUCAUACCAAAGUAUUAAUAAAAAAAAUAAUUAGGAAAAAAAUACAAAUCAAAGCUUGAAUUUUAAAGCAAACACAUUUUAAAGAAUUUUUUUGAGUGUAGAAUCUACAGUUAUGUUUGUUUGUAAGAAUUAUACUUAAGAUUGGACUAUUAAUUAAUCUCAAGUCUCUUAUAUAUUUAUUUUUAAAAAUAGACUUGACACUAUUAGUCUGGGAGAAUAAAAUGAUUUGAAAGGAGGGAUUAUUUAAUAUCACCUCCAACUAGAUAUUAUAAUCCCUACCAUUUAGGGCUAAAUAUUUGUAGACAAAAUUAACUUUUAACUUUGUUUAAAAAGACCAAUGUAUCUUAUACUAUCUAUCUAUACUUAAACUAAUGAGAAUAUAAUAUCUUUGUUAUUAGUAGUAAUGGUAUGAUAGUCCAAACGGUAAGUUUUUAUCCAUUAAUCCUUUAAAUAAUUCUGGACAAAACAAACAUACCAUGAAAUUAUUUUAAGUUAUCACAUGAAUAAUCUCAUAAAAAAUAAACAUGUGACUAGGACUAUUUAAUCAUAGAAUUAUUAAUCUUGUAAUUAUAAUCUAUGAAAAUAUAUUUCCGAUAUUAUAAUUCUUGCAAACAUACAUAUCACAAGGAAAUGAAAACCAAAGCAUAUUAUAAAACAUAAAAAAAUAAAGAACGGAUUUAUUUUGCGUUUUAUCUUUUUCUUUUUUCACUAUAUAUUCUACUACUUCUUACCGUGAGUUAUUAUAAUAUUCAGCAUUAGCUACAAAUUAUAGCUACGGACACAAUAUUUUACUCUCUGUCUCAAAAAAAUGAGCAAAAUAUAAUUUAUAUGCAUAUUAAAAAAAAGUAAAAAUAUAUAAAAAGAGUAAAUUAAAAAAGUUUUAAAUUUAUCUAAUUAGUGACUUCACAAAAUUAUAUAAAGUGAUGUGUAAUUUUUUUUUUAUAUUAAUGAACCUAACUAAAUGACUUAGUUACCCAUCACAUCUUUAAUCAUCCAAGAAGGAUAGAGUAGUGAAGAAUAACCAUUAACUUGAUAUUAUAGAAAAAACAAUAUGAGAAACCCUCAACCCUAGUAACAAAUGUAUGAGAAAUAUUAUUGACUAUAUUCUAAAUUAUUGACUUGACCUUUACGUAUGACACUACAAAUUCACAAUGUUAGGGAUGUUUUAGUAAUUUAGAAUUAACAUUUAGACAUAACACAACAAAUUAUUAAUUAAACACGCUAGUUUACAUAAAUGUAAGUUAAUAAAUAAAGUACAAAAUACCUAAUUUUAGUAAUAAUUAAAAAGUUCGACAUAGUGUGUCAAAAAUAAGAUUUUAAUAGUCAACAUAAUGCGACAAAACGAUGAUUUUAAUGUUCGCAUAGUGCGACAAAACGAUAAUUUUAAUGUUUAACGUAGUGUUACAAAACGAAAAAUUUUAACGUUCGCAUAGUACGACAAAACGAAUAUUUUAAUGUUCAUCAUAGAUUUUAAUGUUUACAUAAUAAUGCGACAAAAAGAAGAUUUUAAUGUUUAGGAUAAUGCAACAAAAUGAAGAUGUAUAGUGAAACCAAAUGAAGAUCAUAAUGUUCGACAUGGUGCGACAAAAUGAAGAUCAUAACGUUCGUUAUAUAAGUGGGACAAACUGAAGAUCCUAAAGAUCCUAAUCUUUGUUAAAUAUAGAAGUGCGACAAAAUGAAGAUUAUAUAGUUUCUUAUAGAUUUUUACGAAACAAAAUUUAACAUAUACUAGCACUUGGUGGCGCAAACGUUAUGUGUGUAAAUUAUGUGGAAUAAGAUAUGAAUUUUAUAAAAUUUGAAUAACCAAGUAAAAAAAUAAAAAAGAAAUAAUAUAAAAAUGACAAAAUAAGAAUUACUUUAAAAGUUGAAGGACAUUUGACUUCAAAAAUUUGUUAACACCAACCCCCCUCCUCCUCUAUAUAUUAGAUAUUAGUAGGAUAUAAAUUUAUUUAUUGAUCAGCGGUGAGUAUAUAAAUUUAUACCAGCAGUUUGUCCACAGUUUGAUGGACUCCAUAGGUUCUAAACAUUUCGUCGAUCCUCUCCUACAAAAAUGACAUCAUUA
RNAcentral lists this long non-coding RNA (2478 nucleotides) under Panax ginseng (ginseng). RNAcentral describes it as "long non-coding RNA (PGIN_LNC003790)". The record is from RNAcentral. Lineage: Eukaryota; Viridiplantae; Streptophyta; Magnoliopsida; Apiales; Araliaceae.